GCCCAGCUAGCUCAGUUGGUAGAACAUGGGAUUCUUAAUCCCAGGGUCGUGGAUUCAUGCCCCAUGUUGGGUG
This 73-nucleotide transfer RNA is filed under the name Mesocricetus auratus (golden hamster). It matches the Rfam family "tRNA". Rfam says of the family: Transfer RNA (tRNA) molecules are approximately 80 nucleotides in length. Lineage: Eukaryota; Metazoa; Chordata; Mammalia; Rodentia; Cricetidae. The record is from Rfam by way of RNAcentral.